Molecule: long non-coding RNA, 308 nt
Organism: Poecilia latipinna (sailfin molly)
Lineage: Eukaryota; Metazoa; Chordata; Actinopteri; Cyprinodontiformes; Poeciliidae
Exons: 2
Source: RefSeq, a predicted model, not a curated record
UGAACUCUGAGGGGCGGAGGACAGUGGGGUCAAACCGGGGUCAAAUAUGCUCCUGAUGAUCAAUAAUCAAUCUGCUGUGACCGUUGGGCUGGGACCAGAACCGGACCUGAUCACCGGAGCACAGCAGAUCCAGAACCGCCAGAUGACCUUUGACCUCCCAUCUGAAAGUCAGGAACCUGAACCGGACCGGCUGGCAUCAGAACUCAACAUUUAUUAAGUUAUCAGAAAGUGAUGAGAAUAUUUCCCCCAUUAGAAAAAAUGCUUUGCAUAAAGAAUUAUUAAAAGCUGUUCAUGUUGCCGCUCAGAGA